GCCGCUUUGACAGCGACCGGUUGACAGAGCAGCUGACUCUUGAUCAGCGGGUCGUAGGUUCGAGGCUACUCAGCGAGCG
RNAcentral lists this transfer RNA (79 nucleotides) under Rhizobium lentis. RNAcentral describes it as "tRNA-Lys". The record is from RNAcentral. Lineage: Bacteria; Pseudomonadati; Pseudomonadota; Alphaproteobacteria; Hyphomicrobiales; Rhizobiaceae.